AUCCCAAUGUUUCGGAUAAGGGAAUUUGCGAAAGGUACGGCGUUCAGGUUUACUUUCGUCGUCAACAGAGUCAAACCCGAUAACACGUUGCAAAAACACGUGGAGUUUAGGAUGUGUACGAGGAUCCUUUGUAACUUCGAACAGUGGUUCAAAGACAUUUCUGACGACCUCUUCAAAAGUCUCAACAAUACCGGACUUCUUAU
This is a non-coding RNA of Schizosaccharomyces pombe (fission yeast), 203 nucleotides long. The record is from the annotation of a GenBank genome assembly. Lineage: Eukaryota; Fungi; Ascomycota; Schizosaccharomycetes; Schizosaccharomycetales; Schizosaccharomycetaceae.